UAGGAAGUCCUUCUGCAUUAAUUACAAUAAAUAAUAGUCUGAAAACUUUCCAUAUUUAUUUACACAGUUUUACAGUUACUCUAAGAAACCAUUCUAUUUAAUAUUUACAGAUUGCUUCAGUUAGGAAAAAAUACUCAAAACACCAGCAAUCCUAAAGGACUCAUCUAUGUCCCCUUUAUCUACCCUGAUCUCAUGUAGUCCCUAAAACAGGGCUUGCUGCCCUUCUUGCCUUUGAGCAGAUGAGUCAAGAUUGCAGAGGUGGCAGUCAACCAUAGAGUCACAAAGUUUUUUUUUUCUUCAUCAGGUCACAAACUGCCACUGAGCCUGACAGAGUUGGUACUCAAAAAUGCAGAAUGGGAAGAAACGGUGGCCAGGAGGUGGUUCCAAGGACCAUGGGGAUCCUGACCAUUCUGAAGAUGAAGCAGAAAAAGCGGGAGGUGCGACUGCUCAUGCUUGGCCUGCACAAUGCUGGGAAGACAACCAUCCUGAAGAAGUUCAAUGGGGAGGACAUCGACACCAUCUCCCCAACACUGGGCUUCAACAUCAAGACCCUGGAGCACUGAGGAUUCAAGCUGAACAUCUGGGAUGUGGGCGGCCAGAAGUCCCUGCCGUCCUACUGGCGGAACUACUUUGAGAGCACUGACGGCCUCAUCUGGGUGGUGGACAGCACGGACUGCCAGUGCAUGCAGGACUGGCAGCGGGAGCUCCAGAGCCUGCUGCUGGAGGAGCGCCUGGCCGGAGCAACCCUCCUCAUCUUUGCCAACAAGCAGGACCUGCCUGGAGCACUGUCCUCUAACGCCAUCCGUGAGGCCCUGGAGCUGGACUCCAUCCGCAGCCACCACUGGUGCAUCCAGGGCUGCAGUGCCAUCACCAGGGAGAACCUGUUGCAGGGCAUUGACUGGCUCCUGGAUGACAUUUCCAGCCGCAUCUUCACAGCUCAGUGAGCCACUCCAGAUGCCCCCCACCUAGCAGUCUAGGUCCCCCAACCCUCAGCAAACACUAUCCACAGGGGGAUGGGAGUCAGCCAGCCAGACUAACACUCCCCCUCCUCCACCCCUUAAACUGCUGCUGCUACUGCUGCCCGCUGCUGCUCUGUGGCGGGAGGGCUGUGCCCUGGCUGUCUCCCUUGCUUCUGACCUGGCCUUUGGCUGCCAUACCAGGAAAAGAGGGCUAGGCGGGCAGAAGCUGCCUCUGCUGCUACCGAGGCUGUGGGCCUCAUCCUUCGCUCAGCUGUGAAAUAAAUUGCUCCUUGUCCUGGAAAAAAAAAAAAA
This is an RNA transcript of Sapajus apella (tufted capuchin), 1271 nucleotides long. It is a transcript of the gene named ADP-ribosylation factor-like protein 2 pseudogene, with no coding region annotated. The transcript has a single exon. NCBI's taxonomy places the organism in Eukaryota, Metazoa, Chordata, Mammalia, Primates, Cebidae. The record is from RefSeq and is a predicted model, not a curated record.